Molecule: ribosomal RNA, 255 nt
Filed under: uncultured bacterium
Lineage: Bacteria
Description: partial 16S ribosomal RNA
Rfam family: Bacterial small subunit ribosomal RNA
Source: RNAcentral
UACGUAGGGUGCGAGCGUUGUCCGGAUUUAUUGGGCGUAAAGAGCUCGUAGGCGGUCUGUCGCGUCGGCUGUGAAAACCCGAGGCUCAACCUCGGGCCUGCAGUCGAUACGGGCAAACUAGAGUGUUGCAGGGGAGACUGGAAUUCCUGGUGUAGCGGUGAAAUGCGCAGAUAUCAGGAGGAACACCGGUGGCGAAGGCGGGUCUCUGGGCAGUAACUGACGCUGGAGGAGCGAAAAGCGUGGGGAGCGAACAGG